RNAcentral lists this small nuclear RNA (299 nucleotides) under Peromyscus maniculatus bairdii (prairie deer mouse). Its description in RNAcentral is "7SK RNA (ENSPEMG00000004036.2)". It matches the Rfam family "7SK RNA". From Rfam's summary of the family: 7SK was discovered as an abundant small nuclear RNA in the mid-70s but a possible function has only recently been suggested. Two independent studies have found that 7SK RNA binds the CDK9/cyclin T complex (known as elongation factor P-TEFb). P-TEFb activates transcription by phosphorylating the C-terminal domain of RNA polymerase II. The record is from Rfam by way of RNAcentral. Lineage: Eukaryota; Metazoa; Chordata; Mammalia; Rodentia; Cricetidae.
AGGUGUAAGGGACAUUGGGCUUGAACAUCUGUCAUCUCAUUGACCAUCAUGGUUGAUCUAGAUGGUCUGGCUGUUGAGAGGGAGCAGUGAGCUCACUGCUCCGUGCGUCUCUUCCAAAGCUGUACGAUUGGAUAGAGAUGACCUUCUCCGAUAAUAAAGGACUGUCCUUUGGUUAAGAGUAUAUAAGUAGUCAUGGUCCCUGCUAGAAUCUCCAAAAUGCUCUCAGAAAAUCAAACAUGUUUCUCCAUGGGAGAAGAUGAAGCCCGGCCAGCCACUAGGACAGUCAGCUUGUCUUCACU